UACAGAGGGGGCAAGCGUUAUUCGGAAUUAUUGGGCGUAAAGGGCGCGUAGGCGGCCUGGCAAGUGGAAGGUGAAAUCCCUCGGCUUAACCGAGGAACUGCCCUCCAAACUGCUUGGCUUGAGUCCGGGAGAGGUGAGUGGAAUUCCCAGUGUAGCGGUGAAAUGCGUAGAUAUUGGGAGGAACACCAGUGGCGAAGGCGACUCUCUGGGCUGUAACUGACGCUGAGGCGCGAAAGCGUGGGUAGCAAACAGG
This 253-nucleotide ribosomal RNA is filed under the name uncultured bacterium. RNAcentral's name for it is "partial 16S ribosomal RNA". It matches the Rfam family "Bacterial small subunit ribosomal RNA", at positions 524 to 776 of the family's 1533-position model. The record is from RNAcentral.